Molecule: ribosomal RNA, 637 nt
Filed under: uncultured bacterium
Lineage: Bacteria
Description: bacterial SSU rRNA
Rfam family: Bacterial small subunit ribosomal RNA
Source: RNAcentral
UAAAGAUUCAUCGCUGAUAGAUAGGCAUGCGUUCCAUUAGGCAGUUGGCGGGGUAACGGCCCACCAAACCGACGAUGGAUAGGGGUUCUGAGAGGAAGGUCCCCCACAUUGGUACUGAGACACGGACCAAACUCCUACGGGAGGCAGCAGUGAGGAAUAUUGGUCAAUGGGCGUAAGCCUGAACCCGCCAAGUCGCGUGAGGGAUGAAGGUUCUAUGGAUCGUAAACCUCUUUUAUAAGGGAAUAAAGUGCGGGACGUGUCCCGUUUUGUAUGUACCUUAUGAAUAAGGAUCGGCUAACUCCGUGCCAGCAGCCGCGGUAAUACGGAGGAUCCGAGCGUUAUCCGGAUUUAUUGGGUUUAAAGGGUGCGUAGGCGGCCUUUUAAGUCAGCGGUGAAAGUCUGUGGCUCAACCAUAGAAUUGCCGUUGAAACUGGGAGGCUUGAGUAUGUUUGAGGCAGGCGGAAUGCGUGGUGUAGCGGUGAAAUGCUUAGAUAUCACGCAGAACCCCGAUUGCGAAGGCAGCCUGCCAAGCCAUGACUGACGCUGAUGCACGAAAGCGUGGGGAUCAAACAGGAUUAGAUACCCUGGUAGUCCACGCAGUAAACGAUGAUCACUAGCUGUUUGCGAUACACAGUAA